GAUGAACGCUGGCGCGUGCUUAACACAUGCAAGUCGAACGAAGCAAUUAAGACAGAAGCCUUCGGGUGGAAGACUUAAUUGACUGAGUGGCGGACGGGUGAGUAACACGUGGGUAACCUACCUCAUACAGGGGGGAUAACGUAUAGAAAUGUACGCUAAUACCGCAUAAGCCUACAGAAUGGCAUCAUUCGGUAGGAAAAACUCCGGUGGUAUGAGAUGGGCCCGCGACUGAUUAGCUAGUUGGUGGGGUAACGGCCCACCAAGGCGACGAUCAGUAGCCGGUCUGAGAGGAUGAACGGCCACAUUGGGACUGAGAUACGGCCCAGACUCCUACGGGAGGCAGCAGGUGGGGAAUAUUGGGCAAGUGGGGGAAACCCUGACCCAGCAACGCCGCGUGAAGGAAGAAGGCCUUCGGGUUGUAAACUUCUUUACCAGGGACGAAGGACGUGACGGUACCUGGAGAAAAAGCAACGGCUAACUACGUG
This 485-nucleotide ribosomal RNA is filed under the name uncultured bacterium. RNAcentral's name for it is "bacterial SSU rRNA". It matches the Rfam family "Bacterial small subunit ribosomal RNA", at positions 28 to 507 of the family's 1533-position model. The record is from RNAcentral.